Scophthalmus maximus (turbot) is the source of this 1318-nucleotide long non-coding RNA. RefSeq lists it as uncharacterized. Lineage: Eukaryota; Metazoa; Chordata; Actinopteri; Pleuronectiformes; Scophthalmidae. The record is from RefSeq and is a predicted model, not a curated record. The transcript is spliced from 4 exons.
UUUAUUUUACGAGUGGGGAAGAGAUUGUAUCAGAUUCGUAUCAGAUUCGGUAUCGGCAGAUACUAAAGGUUGGAGGAUCGGAAUCCGAUCGGACACGGAAAAGUGGUAUCGUCCCAUCCCUAGUGUUUAAAGUAGAGGUGUUUGGAGCCUAUCAAACAGAACUGGUCUCAGGUUAUCAGGAUGUCUGCUUCUUAUUGUAUCGUCUGUUUCCACUGUUUUCUAAUUUGCAAAGAAUCUUAUUGUACAAAACAUCCAGGUUUGUCAUCGUAAGUGCGAUUACAGUCCAAAGUUGAUGACGGUCCAAAAUGAAAGUUGCCUGUCGUGGGUUUGUGCGCCCUCAGCAGCUGUCGUAUGUGCACAAGCCAAAGGUGAUGACGCUCCACUGUGUAACACCACUGCACGGCCCGGAGUGGAGCCAAUGUUUGUGGUUACAACAUUUCCGACAGAGUGAUACAUCCCUUUUCUUGCGAUUCAUGCCACGUCACUCUCAUUGUCAUGUCUGUCAUUUAUGCCUCUAAACUUUAUAGUUUCAACCAAGAUCUUAGGUGUUUGAAUCAACAAUUUUAGUUAAAAAAAAUUAAUGUGUGCACAAUUUAUCAAACUGCAGCUUGUUUCAAUGUAGCCAAUGUAUUCAUUUCCCAUCACAUUUUCGGCUAAAUAUAACUAUCACAUACAGGACUUUUUAAUAAUCAGUAUCAAAGGACUUGGAUCUAUGUGUUUGUAGUAAUUAUUUUGUGAUCAUGGAGAUGGAGGCUAAAAUAACUGUGGUCAAGGUCAAAUUUCCAGAGUUGUAAAUUCCUGCUCUGUGGGCCUAUGAACUGCUGUGCAGUGUGUUUUUGCGUCAGCUCACUCUUCAGACUCAUGGACGUGCUCAACAAACCGGACCCACUGGAUCGAGGGCACAGGUCUGGUUGCGGAAGUGAGAAGGGACGCGAUGAAUCCUGAAAGUUCUUCGGCCGACAAUGAGGACUGUGGAUUGUGUCGCUCCACUGUUAGGAAGGAAAUCUCUCAAUGGUCGGCACAAAGGGGAGGACCUUUGACGGCAGCCGCACUCUUGGAGAAAAUAUGCAUCAAACAUUCAGACUGACUGAACAGGCUUCGGAAUAACUAACAUGCAUUUUCGGCAAUGCAGUCUUCAGUUAUUACAGUCAAAUCCAGAGAGGACAGUAGGACAGAGGGGUUACCUGUGGUGAACAGCACGAUGGCCUUGAUGCAGCUGUACUCCGCCGAGUCCACGUGCAGCACCUUGAGCUUCUCCACCUGCUCCUGGAAGACCCGGAUGUGGUCCAUGAAGGCCACCACCCGGUCCGCGGACAUC